This 497-nucleotide ribosomal RNA is filed under the name uncultured bacterium. RNAcentral's name for it is "partial 16S ribosomal RNA". It matches the Rfam family "Bacterial small subunit ribosomal RNA", at positions 28 to 507 of the family's 1533-position model. The record is from RNAcentral.
GAUGAACGCUGGCGGUGUGCCUAAUACAUGCAAGUCGAGCGAACAGACGAGGAGCUUGCUCCUCUGACGUUAGCGGCGGACGGGUGAGUAACACGUGGAUAACCUACCUAUAAGACUGGGAUAACUUCGGGAAACCGGAGCUAAUACCGGAUAAUAUAUUGAACCGCAUGGUUCAAUAGUGAAAGACGGUUUUGCUGUCACUUAUAGAUGGAUCCGCGCCGCAUUAGCUAGUUGGUAAGGUAACGGCUUACCAAGGCAACGAUGCGUAGCCGACCUGAGAGGGGGAUCGGCCACACUGGAAAUGGGAAAAGGGCCAAACCCCUAAGGGAAGCAGGAGUAGGGAAACUUCCGGAAAGGGCGAAAGCCUGAAGGGGGAAAGCCGGGGGAGGGAAGAAGGGCUUCGGAUCGGAAAACUUUGUUAUUAGGGAAGAACAAAUGUGGAAGUAACUAUGCAAGUCUUGAAGGUACCUAAUCAGAAAGCCAAGGCUAAAUAAGUG